This is a long non-coding RNA of Numida meleagris (helmeted guineafowl), 1620 nucleotides long. The record is from Ensembl. Lineage: Eukaryota; Metazoa; Chordata; Aves; Galliformes; Numididae.
GGGUGUCACUUAUGGGGCAGCGCGGUCACUUAUGGGUCUCUGGGCGUCACUUAUGGGGCUGUGGGUGUCACUUAUGGGUCUCGUGGCGUCACUUGUGGGGCAGGCUCGAAUUACUACGUGCGCAUCCUGAGCAUCACGGUCACUUAUGGGGCAGUGCUGUCACUUAUGGGGCAGUGCUGUCACUUAUGGGUCUCUGGGCCUCACUUAUGGGGCAGUGUGGUCACUUAUGGGGCUGUGGGUGUCACUUAUGGGUCUCGUGGCGUCACUUGUGGGGCAGGCUCCAAUUACUAUGUGCGCAUCCUGAGCAUCACUUAUGGGGCAGUGCUGUCACUUAUGGGUCUUGGGGCGUCACUUAUGGGUCUCGGGGCGUCACUUAUGGGUCUCAGGGGGUCACUUAUGGGUCUCAGGGCGUCACUUAUGGGGCAGCGCGGUCACUUAUGGGUCUCUGGGCGUCACUUAUGGGGCAGUGCUGUCACUUAUGGGUCUCGUGGCGUCACUUGUGGGGCAGGCUUGAAUUACUACGUGCGCAUCCUGAGCANCCAGCCCCACGGCUGACCCCCGUAGCCGCCCCACAGAAGCUGCAGCAGGAGCUGGAGUUCCUGGAGGUGCAGGAGAACUGACCCCCCCCCAUAACCACCCCUAGCCCCAUAGCUGCCCCAUAGCUGCUCCAUAGCCACCCUCAGCCCCAUAGCCGCCCCAUAGCUGCCCCACAUCCACCUCCAGCCCCAUGGCUGACCCCCGUAGCCGCCCCACAGAAGCUGCAGCAGGAGCUGGAGUUCCUGGAGGUGCAGGAGAACUGACCCCCCCCCCAUAUCCACCCCUAGCCCACCCCAUAUCCACUCCCAGCCCCAUAGCUGCCCCGUAGUCGCCCCAUAGCUGACCCAUACCCGCUCCCCAGCCGCAUAGCCGCCCCAUAGCUGCCCCAUAGUCAGCCCCAGCCCCACGGCUGACCCACAGCAGCUGCAGGAGGAGCUGCAGGUGCAGGAGGACUGAUCCCCCCUAUAGCCACCCCCAGCCCCAUAGCCGCCCCAUAGGUGCCCCAUAGCCGCCCCACAACCACCCCCAGCCCCACGGCUGACCCCCACAGCCGCCCCACAGAAGCUGCAGCAGGAGCUGGAGUUCCUGGAGGUGCAGGAGAACUGACCCCCCCCAUAGCCACUUCUAGGCCACCCCAUAUCCACUCCCAGCCCCAUAGCCGCCCCAUAGCCUCCCCAUAGCCACCCCCAGCCCCACGGCUGACCCCCGUAGCCGCCCCACAGAAGCUGCAGCAGGAGCUGGAGUUCCUGGGAGUGCAGGAGGACACACCCCCCCCAUAACUACCCCCAACCUACCCCAUAGCCACCCCCAGCCCCAUGGCUGCCCCGUAGCUGCCUCAUAGCUGCCCCAUACCUGCUCCCCAGCCCCAUAGCUGCCCCAUAGCUGCCCCAUACCUGCUCCCCAGCCCCAUAGCUGCCCCAUAACCACCCCCAGCCCCACUGCUGAUCCACAGAAGCUGCAGCAGGAGCUGGAGUUCCUGGAGGUGCAGGAGGACACAUGCCCCCCUUAACAACCCCCAACCUGCCCCAGAGCCACCCCCAGCCCCAUAGCCGCCCCACAUCCACCCCCAGCCCCACGGCUGAC